AACGUAGGGUGCGAGCGUUAAUCGGAAUUACUGGGCGUAAAGCGUGCGCAGGCGGUUUUGUAAGACAGGUGUGAAAUCCCCGGGCUUAACCUGGGAACUGCAUUUGUGACUGCAAGGCUAGAGUGUGGCAGAGGGGGGUAGAAUUCCGCGUGUAGCAGUGAAAUGCGUAGAUAUCUGGAGGAAUACCGGUGGCGAAGGCGGCAUCCUGGACCGGCAUUGACGCUGAGGAGCGAAAGCCAGGGGAGCAAACGGG
RNAcentral lists this ribosomal RNA (253 nucleotides) under uncultured bacterium. RNAcentral describes it as "partial 16S ribosomal RNA". It matches the Rfam family "Bacterial small subunit ribosomal RNA", at positions 524 to 776 of the family's 1533-position model. The record is from RNAcentral.